RNAcentral lists this long non-coding RNA (936 nucleotides) under Gossypium raimondii (Peruvian cotton). RNAcentral's name for it is "long non-coding RNA (GRAI_LNC004249)". Lineage: Eukaryota; Viridiplantae; Streptophyta; Magnoliopsida; Malvales; Malvaceae. The record is from RNAcentral.
CUCUGUAGAACAAGAUUCUUUCCUCAUUAGAGGGUGGCCUUUAUAAAUGCUCACCCUUGGAUGGUCUACUGUUCUGCUUUUGUCUAGUUUGCCUACAGUGUCCCCUUCGAGCUUCUUCAGCAGUGCUUCACUGGAAGUGGUAUCAGGUACAUUAAUUCGGUGGCCGAUCUCUCUCUUUUCAAGCAUUUCAUUUAACGCUUCUGAAGAAAAUUCAUAUGUAUUUGUAUUGAUGACAUCUGCUCCAUUCAUUACAAGUAGAUUAACCAUGUUUUCAUGCUUCUCUUUCAUGGCAAUCUGCAACGCUGUUAAUCCAUGACGAUUCUUUGCAUCUAUGGGCAAUCCAUGUUUCAGUAGUUCUUUCAUCACUGUCUGAUCAUUUCUUUGUGCAGCAAGGCAUAAGAGAUCACCGGCAGUGAACGGGUUGGAAACAGCAGCACAAUUAUAUAGGACCCUAAAUAUCGAAUGGUGUUUUGAGGAUAUCGCAUUCCAUAGUGAGGUGUUGCCAUUCAUAUCUGCCACAUACAUGGAAUAACAAGAUACAACGUAAGAACUUGAUUCAUUCUCGGAUCAAUGGUGUUAACAUCAUAUUUUACCUUGUAAAUGUACAUUGCAUGCAUGCUUAAGGAGUACCAGCACACAAUCUUCAUGCCCUUUUGUUGCUGCUAUGUGCUGAGGAAUCACACAAGAUAUUUUCAUUAAUGCAUGAACAUUCUUUGAAACAUAUUGACUUGAAAGGUCAACAGAAAAUAAAGCUUACCAAUGGGGUUCUUCCUUUAGAAUCUCCGAUGUCAGGAUCCAACCUUGCUUUCAGAAGCUCAUCAAGAAAAGCAGCAUUGCCUAUAUCGGCCGCAUUCAGCAAAUUAAUAGUGAUGUUUUUUGGCUCAUCGUCUUCUUCUCCGCCCUCUUCUGCUAGGUCUCCGAUUUUAAGAUCCUUUA